CGCUUGCCCUGUCCGCCCGCGCUCCCGAGCGACACGGCGCGACCGGCCGACCUCUUCCUCAUUUUCGCUCAUGGAUGGAAAAACUCACUGCGCUUGUAGUGCGGAGGACCUGGGGAGCCUGUGGCCGAGGCGAUCCGAGGCUCCUGUGGCCGAGGCGAUCGAGGCUCCUGGUGGUUGGGUUCCUGUCGGGCUUGCACACUUGGACACGCCAACUUUCUUUGACCUUCUUCAAAUCUCCAGUGAUUUCUUUGCAACAUACUCAAACUAAACCCCGGUCCAGGACCCCCACUCUUGUGGCAUGUAUUUUGCCUGGUAGCAAGCAUGAACAGCUUUGGAAUCUGAACCCUGGAGUUGAAUCCCACCUCCACUAAUGGGUGGGUUGUAUUACC
This 389-nucleotide long non-coding RNA is filed under the name Fukomys damarensis (Damara mole-rat). RNAcentral's name for it is "lncRNA (ENSFDAG00000029157.1)". The record is from RNAcentral. Lineage: Eukaryota; Metazoa; Chordata; Mammalia; Rodentia; Bathyergidae.